This 538-nucleotide ribosomal RNA is filed under the name Aureobasidium proteae. RNAcentral describes it as "eukaryotic LSU rRNA". It matches the Rfam family "Eukaryotic large subunit ribosomal RNA", at positions 78 to 631 of the family's 3401-position model. Lineage: Eukaryota; Fungi; Ascomycota; Dothideomycetes; Dothideales; Saccotheciaceae. The record is from RNAcentral.
CCCUAGUAACGGCGAGUGAAGCGGCAACAGCUCAAAUUUGAAAGCUAGCCUUCGGGUUCGCAUUGUAAUUUGUAGAGGAUGAUUUGGGGAAGCCGCCUGUCUAAGUUCCUUGGAACAGGACGUCAUAGAGGGUGAGAAUCCCGUAUGUGACAGGAAAUGGCACCCUAUGUAAAUCUCCUUCGACGAGUCGAGUUGUUUGGGAAUGCAGCUCUAAAUGGGAGGUAAAUUUCUUCUAAAGCUAAAUAUUGGCGAGAGACCGAUAGCGCACAAGUAGAGUGAUCGAAAGAUGAAAAGCACUUUGGAAAGAGAGUUAAAAAGCACGUGAAAUUGUUGAAAGGGAAGCGCUUGCAAUCAGACUUGUUUAAACUGUUCGGCCGGUCUUCUGACCGGUUUACUCAGUUUGGACAGGCCAGCAUCAGUUUCGGCGGCCGGAUAAAGGCUCUGGGAAUGUGGCCUCCACUUCGGUGGAGGUGUUAUAGCCCAGGGUGUAAUACGGCCAGCCGGGACUGAGGUCCGCGCUUCGGCUAGGAUGCUGGCG